AUACGUAGGGUGCGAGCGUUAAUCGGAAUUACUGGGCGUAAAGCGUGCGCAGGCGGUUUUGUAAGACAGUGGUGAAAUCCCCGGGCUCAACCUGGGAACUGCCAUUGUGACUGCAAGGCUGGAGUGCGGCAGAGGGGGAUGGAAUUCCGCGUGUAGCAGGGAAAUGCGUAGAUAUGCGGAGGAACACCGAUGGCGAAGGCAAUCCCCUGGGCCUGCACUGACGCUCAUGCACGAAAGCGUGGGGAGCAAACAGGAUUAGAUACCCUGGUAGUCCACGCCCUAAACGAUGUCAACUGGUUGUUGGGAAUUUAUUUUCUCAGUAACGAAGCUAACGCGUGAAGUUGACCGCCUGGGGAGUACGGCCGCAAGGUUAAAACUCAAAUGAAUUGACGGGG
Molecule: ribosomal RNA, 395 nt
Filed under: uncultured bacterium
Lineage: Bacteria
Description: partial 16S ribosomal RNA
Rfam family: Bacterial small subunit ribosomal RNA
Source: RNAcentral